RNAcentral lists this ribosomal RNA (400 nucleotides) under uncultured bacterium. RNAcentral's name for it is "bacterial SSU rRNA". It matches the Rfam family "Bacterial small subunit ribosomal RNA", at positions 355 to 772 of the family's 1533-position model. The record is from RNAcentral.
UGGGGAAUAUUGCACAAUGGGGGAAACCCUGAUGCAGCGACGCCGCGUGAGUGAAGAAGUAUCUCGGUAUGUAAAGCUCUAUCAGCAGGGAAGAAAAUGACGGUACCUGACUAAGAAGCCCCGGCUAACUACGUGCCAGCAGCCGCGGUAAUACGUAGGGGGCAAGCGUUAUCCGGAAUUACUGGGUGUAAAGGGUGCGUAGGUGGUAUGGCAAGUCAGAAGUGAAAACCCAGGGCUUAACUCUGGGACUGCUUUUGAAACUGUCAGACUGGAGUGCAGGAGAGGUAAGCGGAAUUCCUAGUGUAGCGGUGAAAUGCGUAGAUAUUAGGAGGAACAUCAGUGGCGAAGGCGGCUUACUGGACUGAAACUGACACUGAGGCACGAAAGCGUGGGGAGCAAA